CCAUGGAGGGCAGAGGGGCCGUGGAUUGAGUUACUACAGACGGCCUGGGAUUUACUCAGUCUUCCCUAAUGGAAGCUCCAUGGUUCAGGGAGCUUCAAGGGUUGGGGAACCCACGCACAAGCUGGGAGCGUGUUGCCCCCAGACUCCACAGAGACAGAAGCUCCUGGACUGGGAACCCUCCUGGAUCUCACCCUUCAUUUCUUCCUGUGGCUGUUCAUCCCUUGAGGGUAAACAGGCAGACGGUCCAAGCAUCUGUAAAGAAGGGGUGUGACCCGUUCUCCUGCUUCUCAUGACCCGUGUGUCUGUGGAAUUUGAUUUCUCAUUUGUUGGUUCUCACACUCAAGAAACACAGCAGCUACACGUCUUGACCAUGAAAUUUCCAAGACUGGGGUCCUUGUUCACAACGUCCACUUCCUCCCGUAUGGCCACCUUCAAUGUUCAGAAAUCAGGGCCCGGGACCUGGGGGACAUCUCCUGCCAGAGGGGACAGGGUUCCCCUUCUGCACUCGGUCAGUUUUCCCAUCGAUGGUAUCGCAAACAACUGCCCCGUGAAGACAGCGGGCAGGGUUCCGGCUGCCCCGCCCUGGGUUCUUACCUGCAGCCUGGCUCACCCUCCUUGUUCCGAAAUAAAUCUCGCUCGACCCCCGGAGUAUCUGAGUUCUGCAAACCCAUCUUCAGGAAUCAGCAGACAGAUGGGAACACACAGACGCGUGAAACUUUGAUAGCAGACUCCGGCACCCAGCAUGUUUCUCAAAGCACCGGAGUCUAAUUUUCAUUCCCAAAAAAGCCCCCUUGAAGACUUCUCAGCACGAAUUAGGCUAUCCAUAUUUCAUGCAAAAAAAAAAAAUCAGACAUAAAAAAAAAAAAACCACCCAAAUGACUCUUAGUUAUGAGUGGAGACAUUCCAAAUCGAAAGCAGCACCUUCUGGCCUCUGCCAAGGCUAUGAAAAUGCAAUGAUCUCCAGAAAUUCAUACACGCAUCCCUGGGGACAUUGUUACGGGCUCAUAAAAAGAAAAGUUGCUGGUACUUGAGCUUGCAAAUAAUUUAUGCACUGGGUUUGUCUCGGACGCCUGGAGUCCCGUGUGCCGAAUUGGCCACCUACUCAUACGCAGGAAACAUGUCGUCGGCAUCAGAAUGGAGUCUUGGUGGUCUCACGCACGUGCCAGCCCCAGCAUGAAGAAACACGCUUUUUCCAUGCGCCACCUUGAACGUUUACAACCCAGUCAUCAUGUUGGACCAAGCCGCCUCUGAUCAUAAACACUGUUGUUCAGUCGCUCACUCGUGUCCAA
Molecule: long non-coding RNA, 1289 nt
Organism: Bubalus bubalis (water buffalo)
Lineage: Eukaryota; Metazoa; Chordata; Mammalia; Artiodactyla; Bovidae
Exons: 3
Source: RefSeq, a predicted model, not a curated record